This 118-nucleotide ribosomal RNA is filed under the name Pteropus alecto (black flying fox). The record is from RNAcentral. Lineage: Eukaryota; Metazoa; Chordata; Mammalia; Chiroptera; Pteropodidae.
GUCUAUGGCCAUGCUACCCUGAACAAGCCGAUCCCGUCUGAUCUCAGAAGCUGAGCAGGGUCGGGCCUGGUUAGUACUUGGAUGGGACACCACCUAGGAAGAACAGAUGCUGUCGGCA